Molecule: ribosomal RNA, 1410 nt
Filed under: uncultured Bordetella sp.
Lineage: Bacteria; Pseudomonadati; Pseudomonadota; Betaproteobacteria; Burkholderiales; Alcaligenaceae
Description: partial 16S-23S ribosomal RNA intergenic spacer
Source: RNAcentral
UUUUGUGUUACGACCCACUGAUCAUGAAUCCUACCGUGGUAAUCGCCCUCCACGGUUAGGCUAACUACUUCUGGUAAAACCCGCUCCCUUGGUGCUUGGAAGCGGGCAGUGUGUACAGGCCCGGGGCAAUAUUCACGCGACAUCCUGAAUCGCGGUUACUAGCGUUCCGGCUUUACUGGAAUGGUUGCAGACUGCGAUCCGGACUACGAUCGGGUUUCUGGGAUUGGCUCCCCUCGCGGGUUGGCGGCCUCUGUCCCGACCAUUGUGUGGCCAUUAAUGACCUACGCCAGGCCAUGAGGACUUGACGUCGUCCACCUUCUCCGGUUUGUCACCGGCAGUCUGGUGGAGGUACCGCUACAGCAGCAACUGACGGCAAGGGUUGCGCUCGAAUUGGGACUUAACCCAACGUACGACGACUGACGACAGCCAUGCCCAGCACCUGUGUUCCGGUUCUCUGCGAGCACUCCCAAGUCUCUUCGGGAUUCCGGGCUGUAUCAAGGGUAGGUGGGUUUUCGCGUUGCAUCAGAUUAAUCCACAUCAUCACGCUUGUGCGUUCCCCGUCAAUUCUUUGAGUUUUAAUCUUUUGACCAAGCACUCCCCAGGCGGUCAGCUUCACGCAGUCAGCUGCUUUAAGACGAAAGCCCCAACAGCUGGUUGGCAUAAUUUGGGCGUGGACUACCAGGGUAUCUAAUCCUGUUUUGUCCCGCGCAGCGCGACGUCGAAUUGCUUCAUCAGGAGGCUGCAUUGUCGUUGUUGCUCCGCAUAUCUGCAUUUCACCACUACGCUGAAUUUUGCACCUCCCUCUGACCGCUCGCUCCGGUAGGGUUAAAAAUGCAGUUUCGAGUUAAGCUCAAGUUUAUCUGCGCGAACCGCCUGCUGCGCACGCUUUACGCCAGUAAUUCCGAUUAACGCUUGCCACCGCGUUACCGCGGCUGCUGGCGUGGUUUAGCCGGUGCUGAUGGUACCGUCGGUUGCACGGUGUUAUCCCGUGCCGUUUCUUUCCUGCCGAAGUGCUUUAACCCGAAAGUGCCUUCAUCGCACGCAGGAUGGCAGGAUCAGGGUUUCCCCCGACUGUCCAAAAUUCCCACUGCUGCCUCCCGUAGGAGUCGGGCGUCUCAGUCCCGGUGUGGCAUUCAUUAUCAAACCCAGCUACGGAUCGUCACAUAUGGUGAAGCCGUUACCCCACCAACUAAGCUAAUCCGAUAUCGGCCCGCUCUAAUAGUGCGAGGCCCGGGGUCCCGCUUACACGAGCGUAUGCGGUAAUGGCCACUUUGGCAGUUAUCCCCCGCUUCUGGGCACGUUCCGAUACAUUACCGUUCUGCUCGCCGCAGAAUAAGUCCCAGUACUUUGCGGAUGACUUGCAUUAACAUGCAGCAUCCCGCCAGCGUUCGUCCCAGGCCAGGAUCGACU